GACGAACGCUGGCGGCGUGCUUAACACAUGCAAGUCGAGCGGUAAGGCCCUUUCGGGGGUACACGAGCGGCGAACGGGUGAGUAACACGUGGGUGACCUGCCCUCAGCUCUGGGAUAAGCCUGGGAAACCGGGUCUAACACCGGAUAUGACUCCAUGACGCAUGUUGUGGGGUGGAAAGCCUUGUGCGGCUGAGGAUGGGCCCGCGGCCUAUCAGCUUGUUGGUGGGGUGAUGGCCUACCAAGGCGACGACGGGUAGCCGGCCUGAGAGGGCGACCGGCCACACUGGGACUGAGACACGGCCCAGACUCCUACGGGAGGCAGCAGUGGGGAAUCUUGCGCAAUGGGCGAAAGCCUGACGCAGCGACGCCGCGUGAGGGAUGACGGCCU
RNAcentral lists this ribosomal RNA (388 nucleotides) under uncultured bacterium. RNAcentral's name for it is "bacterial SSU rRNA". It matches the Rfam family "Bacterial small subunit ribosomal RNA", at positions 28 to 417 of the family's 1533-position model. The record is from RNAcentral.